CAUGCAGUCGAACGGUAGCAGGAAGUGCUUGCACUUUGCUGACGAGUGGCGGACGGGUGAGUAAUACUUAGGAACAUGCCUUUGUGUGGGGGAUAACCAUUGGAAGCGAUGGCUAAUACCGCAUAAUGUCUUUGGACCAAAGAGGGCUUUCGGGCUCUCGCGCAAAGAGUGGCCUAAGUGAGAUUAGCUUGUUGGUGAGGUAAAGGCUCACCAAGGCGACGAUCUCUAGCUGUUCUGAGAGGAAGAUCAGCCACACUGGGACUGAGACACGGCCCAGACUCCUACGGGAGGCAGCAGUGGGGAAUAUUGCACAAUGGGGGCAACCCUGAUGCAGCCAUGCCGCGUGUGUGAAGAAGGCCUUCGGGUUGUAAAGCACUUUCAGUUGUGAGGAAAGGUUGAUGGUUAAUACCCAUCAGCUGUGACGUUAGCAACAGAAGAAGCACCGGCUAACUCCGUGCCAGCAGCCGCGGUAAUACGGAGGGUGCGAGCGUUAAUCGGAAUUACUGGGCGUAAAGCGCACGCAGGCGGUUAUAUAAGCUAGAUGUGAAAGCCCCGGGCUCAACCUGGGAAUAGCAUUUAGAACUGUAUGACUAGAGUCUUGGAGAGGGGAGUGGAAUUCCAGGUGUAGCGGUG
Molecule: ribosomal RNA, 633 nt
Filed under: uncultured bacterium
Lineage: Bacteria
Description: bacterial SSU rRNA
Rfam family: Bacterial small subunit ribosomal RNA
Source: RNAcentral